ACAUGAUUCGCGUCGAACAGUGGGAAGCAAAGCUUUCCAGUUGAUUUUUGC
This 51-nucleotide small RNA is filed under the name Sinorhizobium meliloti 2011. RNAcentral describes it as "putative ncRNA". The record is from RNAcentral. Lineage: Bacteria; Pseudomonadati; Pseudomonadota; Alphaproteobacteria; Hyphomicrobiales; Rhizobiaceae.